This is a non-coding RNA of Pelobates cultripes (western spadefoot toad), 380 nucleotides long. The record is from the annotation of a GenBank genome assembly. Lineage: Eukaryota; Metazoa; Chordata; Amphibia; Anura; Pelobatidae.
GACCAAGCUUGGAAAACUCGUCCCUUGCCUCGCUGAGGGUCCGGCAGCCAGUUGGAGAACCGCUCCGUAUGGCAGUUCGCACUGAAUGUAAUCAUGCCAGUACUCGAGACCCCGGAGGGUGAGGCAACCAAUCAUUGGGGUCUCUCCAUGGUUGGGUGAAGACGUCCACCACAUGAGUGUCUCGUCCCGCAUACAUUCUGUCACAAAUGACGAAUACUUGUCCAGAAGCUAUAGAUAGCGAUCCUAUGUGAGAUCCGACUGCAGUCCGUAGUAGGCAACUGGUGAGAAGUCCAUGCCGGAAGGUAGCGAGCAAUACUGUGAAUGUUGAACAAACCUGCAGGCAGGUCCAUGCAGUUGGCGUAAAGGAGUCCCUCCUCCGG